Molecule: ribosomal RNA, 439 nt
Filed under: uncultured bacterium
Lineage: Bacteria
Description: partial 16S ribosomal RNA
Rfam family: Bacterial small subunit ribosomal RNA
Source: RNAcentral
CUACGGGAUGCUGCAGUGAGGAAUAUUGCACAAUGGGGGGAACCCUGAUGCAGCAACGCCGCGUGGAGGAUGACGCAUUUCGGUGUGUAAACUCCUUUUAUAUGUCAAGAAAAUGACGGUAGCAUAUGAAUAAGCACCGGCUAACUCCGUGCCAGCAGCCGCGGUAAUACGGAGGGUGCAAGCGUUACUCGGAAUCACUGGGCGUAAAGGACGCGUAGGCGGGUUGGAAAGUCAGGUGUGAAAUCCUACAGCAUAACUGUAGAACUGCACUUGAAACUUCUAAUCUUGAGUAUGGGAGGGGGGGAUGGAAUUAGGGGUGUAGGGGUAAAAUCCGUAGAUAUCACUAGGAAUACCUAAAGCGAAGGCGAUCUCCUGGAACAUUACUGACGCUAAGGCGUGAAAGCGUGGGGAGCAAACAGGAUUAGAUACCCUCGUAGUC